GAUGAACGCUGGCGGCGUGCCUAAUACAUGCAAGUCGAGCGAACAGACGAGGAGCUUGCUCCUCUGACGUUAGCGGCGGACGGGUGAGUAACACGUGGAUAACCUACCUAUAAGACUGGGAUAACUUCGGGAAACCGGAGCUAAUACCGGAUAAUAUAUUGAACCGCAUGGUUCAAUAGUGAAAGACGGUUUUGCUGUCACUUAUAGAUGGAUCCGCGCCGCAUUAGCUAGUUGGUAAGGUAACGGCUUACCAAGGCAACGAUGCGUAGCCGACCUGAGAGGGUGAUCGGCCACCCUGGAAAUGAGACACGGUCCAGACUCCUACGGGAGGCCGCAGUAGGGAAUCUUCCGGCAUGGGCGAAAGCCUGACGGAGCAACGGCGCGUGAGUGAUGAAGGUCUUCGGAUCGUAAAACUCUGUUAUUAGGGAAGAACAAAUGUGUAAGUAACUAUGCACGUCUUGACGGUACCUAAUCAGAAAGCCACGGCUAACUACGUG
RNAcentral lists this ribosomal RNA (497 nucleotides) under uncultured bacterium. Its description in RNAcentral is "partial 16S ribosomal RNA". It matches the Rfam family "Bacterial small subunit ribosomal RNA", at positions 28 to 507 of the family's 1533-position model. The record is from RNAcentral.